RNAcentral lists this long non-coding RNA (360 nucleotides) under Ananas comosus (pineapple). Its description in RNAcentral is "long non-coding RNA (ACOM_LNC030748)". The record is from RNAcentral. Lineage: Eukaryota; Viridiplantae; Streptophyta; Magnoliopsida; Poales; Bromeliaceae.
CCCAAAAAUGUUAAGAACUUCAGUUCUAGUAGUUUUUGUCGUUCAGAGUCCUUUUUUGUCUCCAUUUCUCGCUAAAACGGCUCUCGCUCUGCCCACACACUACAAAUGUAUUGACCAGCUACUUUCACUAUACUUGGAUCCAGCUACUGAGCUCCAGAACACUACAAACCGACAUCAUAUUUCCAAAGAACCCUACGCCUUUGUGCUCAAUCUAUGCAAGUGAGACCAAUCUCAAGUAUAAUUAGGAAUGGCAACAGGGUGGGGAAGGGAUUGAGAUCUCUUCCCCAUCCUUAUCUGUAGUACAACGAACUUCUAUAAAUUAUGGAGUUUUAGUGGAAGGUAGUCUUUUAGACUAUUUGA